This 163-nucleotide ribosomal RNA is filed under the name Hypocreaceae sp. RNAcentral's name for it is "partial large subunit ribosomal RNA". It matches the Rfam family "Eukaryotic large subunit ribosomal RNA", at positions 99 to 261 of the family's 3401-position model. Lineage: Eukaryota; Fungi; Ascomycota; Sordariomycetes; Hypocreales; Hypocreaceae. The record is from RNAcentral.
CGGCAACAGCUCAAAUUUGAAAUCUGGCCCCUCGGGGUCCGAGUUGUAAUUUGUAGAGGAUGCUUUUGGUGAGGUGCCGCCCGAGUUCCCUGGAACGGGACGCCACAGAGGGUGAGAAUCCCGUACGUGCCCGGUGGCCGCCCCCGUGUGAAGCUCCUUCGAC